RNAcentral lists this ribosomal RNA (485 nucleotides) under uncultured bacterium. Its description in RNAcentral is "bacterial SSU rRNA". It matches the Rfam family "Bacterial small subunit ribosomal RNA", at positions 28 to 507 of the family's 1533-position model. The record is from RNAcentral.
GAUGAACGCUAGCGACAGGCUUAACACAUGCAAGUCGAGGGGCAGCACAGGGUAGCAAUACUUGGGUGGCGACCGGCGCACGGGUGAGUAACGCGUAUCCAACCUUCCGUACACUCAGGGAUAGCCUUUCGAAAGAAAGAUUAAUACCUGAUGGUAUGAUGAGAUUGCAUGAUAGCAUCAUUAAAGAUUUAUCGGUGUACGAUGGGGAUGCGUUCCAUUAGGUAGUAGGCGGGGUAACGGCCCACCUAGCCUACGAUGGAUAGGGGUUCUGAGAGGAAGGCCCCCCACAUUGGAACUGAGACACGGUCCAAACUCCUACGGGAGGCAGCAGUGAGGAAUAUUGGUCAAUGGACGGGAGUCUGAACCAGCCAAGUAGCGUGAAGGAUGACUGCCCUAUGGGUUGUAAACUUCUUUUAUAUGGGAAUAAAGUUUUCCACGUGUGGAAUUUUGAUGUACCAUAUGAAUAAGGAUCGGCUAACUCCGUG